UACGACUACAUAUCAGGCAUAUCAAUAAGCGGAGGAAAAGAAACUAACUAGGAUUCCCUUAGUAACGGCGAGUGAAGCGGGAAGAGCUCAAAUUUGAAAUCUUCAAGGUUCUACCUUGACGAAUUGUAGUUUAAAGAAGUGUUUUCUGUUGGAGUUUUGGUAAAAGUUCUUUGGAAUAGGACAUCAUAGAGGGUGAGAAUCCCGUAUUUGACCAUUAUUUCCAGCUGUGUGAUACACUUUCAACGAGUCGGAUUGUUUGGGAAUGCAGUCCAAAAUGGGUGGUAAAUUUCAUCUAAAGCUAAAUAUUGGCGAGAGACCGAUAGCGAACAAGUACCGUGAGGGAAAGAUGAAAAGAACUUUGAAAAGAGAGUUAAACAGUACGUGAAAUUGUCAAAAGGGAAGCGUUUGACACCAGUGUUGUUUUUCCGAAAAUCAAUUACGAAUGUUUUGUUUUUGAGGAGUUAUGACUUCAUCGGCUUGCUCCUUUCUUUACGAAACUUUCUUAAUGCACUUUUCGGUUAACAAGUCAACAUCAAUUUCUUUUGUUGUAAAAGGGUAUGAGGAAGGUGGCUUUCUUUUCGGAGAAAGUGUUUAUAGCCUUGUAGCCUCUGCAAUCGGAGAGAUUGAGGUCUGCAGCGUAGAUCCUUCGGGGUUAGAUACAGUUUGUGCUAAGUUAUAGCUUUUCAUAGACAACUUGUUGACUAUGUUUAGUCUUGUAGCUUACUCGCUGAUGCUAUUUUACCUACGCUUAGGAUGUUGAUCUCUCACAGUCGAGC
RNAcentral lists this ribosomal RNA (776 nucleotides) under uncultured Neocallimastigales. RNAcentral's name for it is "partial large subunit ribosomal RNA". It matches the Rfam family "Eukaryotic large subunit ribosomal RNA", at positions 24 to 645 of the family's 3401-position model. The record is from RNAcentral. Lineage: Eukaryota; Fungi; Neocallimastigomycota; Neocallimastigomycetes; Neocallimastigales.